RNAcentral lists this ribosomal RNA (138 nucleotides) under uncultured eukaryote. Its description in RNAcentral is "partial 18S ribosomal RNA". It matches the Rfam family "Eukaryotic small subunit ribosomal RNA", at positions 1299 to 1458 of the family's 1831-position model. The record is from RNAcentral.
UGGUGGAGUGAUUUGUCUGGUUAAUUCCGUUAACGAACGAGACCUCAGCUUGUUAACUAGUGCGGCGAAGCCUUGCUUCGCCGAGACUUCUUAGAGGGACUGUGAGCGUUUAGCUCAUGGAGGUUUGAGGCAAUAACA